CCCUGUGACUACAGGAUUAGAACUUCAAGCCUACCUUCUGACCUAGAGGUUGAAUUAGUCACCAACAACCAAAGAUUUAAUCAAUCAUGUCUACAUAACAAAGCCUGUAUAAAAAUCCCAAAGGGCAAGGUUCAGAGAGCUUCUGGGUUAGUGAACACGUGAAUGUGCUGGAUGAGAGUCCCUUCCCUCAUACCUUGCUAUAUGCAUCUCUUCCAUAUGGCUGUUCUUGACCUAUAUCCUCUUAAACUGGUAAUCUGCAGAUAAUGCUUAGCAGAUGUUGCUGAUGAACAUCUGGAAUUGACCGAAUGACUCAUCUUUGUGCCAGGGCCAAACAGCAGCAAACUUGGAACUAUUACAGCUUUUAAUGAAAAGCCACAGUGGUUGUAUCCUUUGCACAUAAUUUUGCAACUAGAAUAAUUCAUCACAGAAUGCUGUUUUAUCUUCUUCCUUGGAAAGUAUGGAAUUAUGGCAAAAACUAUAAUUCCUUAAGGAAUAAAGACCAAAAAACUUUA
Molecule: long non-coding RNA, 512 nt
Organism: Canis lupus familiaris (dog)
Lineage: Eukaryota; Metazoa; Chordata; Mammalia; Carnivora; Canidae
Exons: 2
Source: RefSeq, a predicted model, not a curated record